This 841-nucleotide ribosomal RNA is filed under the name Xanthoparmelia mexicana. Its description in RNAcentral is "eukaryotic LSU rRNA". It matches the Rfam family "Eukaryotic large subunit ribosomal RNA", at positions 81 to 936 of the family's 3401-position model. Lineage: Eukaryota; Fungi; Ascomycota; Lecanoromycetes; Lecanorales; Parmeliaceae. The record is from RNAcentral.
CAGUAACGGCGAGUGAAGCGGCAACAGCUCAAAUUUGAAAUCUGGCUCCUUCGGGGUCCGAAUUGUAAUUUGUAGAGAGUGCUUCGGGCGAGACCUCGGUCUAAGUCCAUUGGAACAUGGUGUCAUAGAGGGUGAGAAUCCCGUAUGCGACCGUGGCUCGAGCCCAUGUGAAGCCUCUUCGACGAGUCGAGUUGUUUGGGAAUGCAGCUCAAAAUGGGUGGUAAAUUUCAUCUAAAGCUAAAUACUGGCUGGAGACCGAUAGCGCACAAGUAGAGUGAUCGAAAGAUGAAAAGCACUUUGGAAAGAGAGUCAAACAGUACGUGAAAUUGUUGAAAGGGAAGCGCUUGCAACCAGACCUGCCCGUAGGCGAUCAGCCGCUGUUCUCAGCGGUGUACUCGCUCUGCGAUCAGGCCAGCAUCGGUUUCGGCGGUCGGAUAAAGACCUUGGGAAUGUAGCUUCCCUUCGGGGAAGUCUUAUAGCCCUCGGUGUAAUGCGGCCAGCCGGGACCGAGGACCGCGCUUCGGCUAGGAUGCUGGCGUAAUGGUUGUAAGCGACCCGUCUUGAAACACGGACCAAGGAGUCUAACAUCUAUGCGAGUGUUUGGGUGUCAAACCCAUACGCGGAAUGAAAGUGAACGGAGGUGAGAACCCUUUAAGGGCGCAUCAUCGACCGAUCCAGAUGUCUUCGGAUGGAUUUGAGUAUGAGCAUAGCUGUUGGGACCCGAAAGAUGGUGAACUAUGCCUGAAUAGGGUGAAGCCAGAGGAAACUCUGGUGGAGGCUCGCAGCGGUUCUGACGUGCAAAUCGAUCGUCAAAUUUGGGUAUAGGGGCGAAAGACUAAUC